CCUACGGGAGGCAGCAGUGGGGAAUAUUGCGCAAUGGGGGAAACCCUGACGCAGCAACGCCGCGUGAAGGAAGAAGGCCUUCGGGUUGUAAACUUCUUUNAUUGGGGACGAAGGAAGUGACGGUACCCAAAGAACAAGCCACGGCUAACUACGUGCCAGCAGCCGCGGUAAUACCUAGGUGGCGAGCGUUGUCCGGAAUUACUGGGUGUAAAGGGCGCGUAGGCGGGGAUGCAAGUCAGAUGUGAAAUUCCGGGGCUUAACCCCGGCGCUGCAUCUGAAACUGUAUCUCUUGAGUGCUGGAGAGGAAAGCGGAAUUCCUAGUGUAGCGGUGAAAUGCGUAGAUAUUAGGAGGAACACCAGUGGCGAAGGCGGCUUUCUGGACAGUAACUGACGCUGAGGCGCGAAAGCGUGGGGAGCAAACAGGAUUAGAUACCCUGGUAG
This 441-nucleotide ribosomal RNA is filed under the name uncultured bacterium. RNAcentral's name for it is "bacterial SSU rRNA". It matches the Rfam family "Bacterial small subunit ribosomal RNA", at positions 338 to 793 of the family's 1533-position model. The record is from RNAcentral.